Molecule: long non-coding RNA, 239 nt
Filed under: Ictidomys tridecemlineatus (thirteen-lined ground squirrel)
Lineage: Eukaryota; Metazoa; Chordata; Mammalia; Rodentia; Sciuridae
Description: lncRNA (ENSSTOG00000033262.1)
Source: RNAcentral
CAAAUAUGUUUGCUUAUGUGUUUGUCUUUUUAAAGGAGCUUCUUUGAAAAGCGGCUCUUGUCCAGAAAAGAAUGGCUUCCAAGGAUCUAUUUGGAACUCCUUGAGGAUAGUGAAACCAUUGGUGCUUUGAGACUAGUCAGUCAUCAUCUCUUCGAAAUGCAUCAUAAAGAUGGGAGGAUUUUCUGAUUGUCAUGCCUGGUGGAGAGUAUGAACUGCAAACAAUUCCUUGAUAUCUUGUG